AACCGAAAAAAACCGCACCGAUCACCGAACCGCAGCCGAAAAAAACCACACCACACCGAAUCUGGUCGGUUCCGAACCGAAAAACCGAACUGUUCACGAAACGACGUCGUUUCGUAUAUGUUUAAUCGGAAACCCUAAACCUCUCUCCCAGUCCCUCACUCUAUCGACUCCUCUCUAUCUCAUUCCGCCUCCCAGUCCGGCAGUCCCGAUCGCAAUUCGACCUCAGCGGCUCAGCCCGACAGCCCCGACACCGGUCGUGAUUCGACCUCAUCCCGACAGCCCCGACCCCGAUCGCUCUCUGUGCUUCCUGCAUCGCUGAUCGAUCUCCAGGUUUGAUCUCCACCUUGGGCUUUCAUGUCUGCUUGUAUUAUACCAAUACGACAUCGUUCGGUUCCACAAUUGCCAAUGCCAAGCUGCAACUAAAACCGCAAAGUCCCUAUACCCUUUUUUCAAAACCUCCAAACAAAAACCCACGGUAACACUUGAGCCCAAGAAUCCAACCAUGGCCGAUUCUGGAGCUAACCCUAAACAGAGACAACCCAAGAAGAACAAGAAGAAGAGAAAGCAGAGCGAACCCCAAGAAUCUGAAAGGCCGCCCAAAACUAACCGCACCAAUUCAUCAGAGAACGAGAAUGAACCACAAGACCAAAACUUUGAAGUCGGAAAAGCUGAAAAACCCAAUCAAGGUGGUCCAUGGAGGAACCUGGAGUUAAUUCUGUCAAUCCAGGACAGAGAGCUUGAUCUUCACAAGAAGGUGGAACUAGCUCAUGGUUUUGUGAUGUCGAGGGUGAAGGAAGAAGGAGGCAGCAGUGAUGAGGAUAAUCAAGCAGUGAACAUGUCACGUUUAGUAAUUUUUGUCAGUGAUUGGAUCCAGUCAUUGUUGAUUUCCGAAGGAAAGAAAGUUGAGAGUGGUGGAGAGAAGCAUCAAGCUGAAGUUAUUUAUACGUAUUUGGAUUUAAGAUGCUGGGAGAUUUUCAAAUUCUGUUUGGAGGAGUCUCUGAAAUUAAAUGUUUCGUUAAGUUUCUCACGGAACCUUUUACGCUCUAUAUGUUGGAUUGCAAGGAGCGCACUGUCCUUAUUGAACAAAAAAAUUAUUGGUGAAGGGUUACAAUUGUACACUACUGUGCUUGAUUGUAUUUCUUUGGUAUUUUCAUCCCAAGAAGGCUUCUCAAAUGAAAAUUUAGACAUGUGGAUUAUAACUGUAAGUUCAGUUCUUGACCUUGGACACAAAUUUUACAGUGAAGCUCUUGUUAGUGGCAAUGAGGGUGUAUUUGUUUUCCAAUUCUUGUGCUUGGUGCUUGAGCCAUUUGCCAGGUUUUUAAGGGCUCACGCUCGGAAAGAUGGAUUUCGUGAUUUUAGUAAUAAGCUCCUUGAGCCUCUGUUGCAUCUCUUGGGUCUCUUGCAUCUCCAGAUUGGUGGAAGUAAUCCUGGUUGGAGAAGAAACUUACUGAAGCUUGUUGAAGAUGUAUUAUCUCAUGGGCUAUAUCACCCGCUCCACAUUGAUGGGUUUUUGAGCUUAUGCAGUACUGAAAAAGACACCACAUCCAAUGAUGGGAAGUCAAAAGAUUCCAAAACAAUCAACCAGAGUUAUCAUAGACAUUUAUUUGAUAAAGUGGAAGGAAUUUUAGCUGCAAAGAAUGCAUUUGCAGUAGAAAGCAUAGGAGUAUUGUUUCACUUGCUUAUUGAUCAAGUUAAAAAGCUAAAGAGGGAUUCAGCGCUGACUGCAAGUACCAAAAUGAUGGGGAAGAGUGAAGGUUCAAGGCAGUUAGAAGAUAGUUCAUUGGGUCAAACGUCUAUGAUAUCUUCUGAGAGUCGUAUUGUUGAAAAGAAUUAUUGCUCAACUAGUUUCAAUCCAGGAACACGAAAGUCACUUCACGAUUUUUUUGUACUGAUUAUGGAGCCUCUUUUGCUUGAGAUCAAUGGCUUUCUUGAAACUAAGCUGAAAGUGGGCCCUGAAUUGUUGGAUAUUCAUUGCACACUUAAAGCUAUAAAUAAUGUACUUUUGGUCUUUAUGCAUGAAAAGAUUUAUGUGAGAACAGAGGAUGCCUCUGACGGAGCUUCUCUUAAUUUCUUGAAGAAGGUUUAUAAUAUUAUCAUCUCAUUGUCCUCAGAUUUAAUUCAGUUGUCAGUUACACACUCAGAUAAUUUUAGUCUAAUAGCAAAUGAGGUACUUUCUGCUGUUGGCUAUCUUAUGGAAAUUGAAUAUGAUGUUCUAGAGAAUGAUCUAGUAAGCUUGUGGUUAAUGAUCCUCUCUUACUGGGCCAUUGGGCUUUCUUUGGUGGAUUCUCCGGAUAGAUGCUCAUUAUUCUCCAAGAUAACAGAUAUUGGAUGCCAAUUAAUUAUGCUCUAUAGUCAACUUCGCCAGGUGAAUAAUACUAUCUUUGCAUUGUGUAAAGCAAUAAGGGUUAUUAAUUUACAUAAUAGCGAUGGUCAACUGAACUAUACUAGAUUUGUCAUUCCUUUUCAUGGUGAAGCAUAUGCAAAAGCUGUGGAAAUGCUAUUAUCUGCACAUGAAUUCAAAAUUGCAAUUCAUAAAGCAAUGAAGUCCAUACCAGAAGGACAAGCAAGUCAAUGUAUUCGGCAGUUAACAUUGGAUAUAUCAGAAUCUCUAGAGUGGAUGAAAGUUAGUUGUUCGGAGGCUGAUGAAAAAGAAUUUUCUGAAUGCCAUCUAAGUAGCUUACACAGUUUUAAUCUGGAAGCUGAACUUUUUGGGAGAGGGUUGUCAGAAAUAUAUGCAUUAUUCCUAGAGUCAUUGAUUGUCACAACUGGAAACUGUAACCUUCUUGGCGUCUCUAUAAAGGAAUUAAUUAGAGUGAUUUUCCCUUGCAUGAGCAAUCUGGUUGGACCACAGCAGGAGGAUGCUGUAAACAAAUUCCUAUGGUCUGUCGCGGUAAAAGAUUCUGACAAUGUGAUCGAUAGAAACAAAAACAAAUAUAUGAUAUUUGGAGUCUCCACUUAUUGGGUAGUUUUGUUCUUCUUUCGAUUGUAUAGCUCCUGCCGAUGCUUAUAUAGGCAAGCAGCAAUCCUUAUGCCUCCAGAUUUAUCAAGAAAGAUGUCUGCAGAAAUGGGAGAUUCCUUCUCUUCAUUCUCUGGCAGGGAUUGGAUGGAAAUGUCUGAUUGGAUCAAUGGGGGAUUUUUCUCUUGGAUUGUACAACCUUCAGCUUCUCUGUUUUCUUUUAUUCAAUCUGUUUCAAACAUCUUUUGUAAGGGCCGUGCAGCUGAUUCUUGUCCUUUAACUUAUCUAAUGCAUGCUAUGGCUUGUGAAAGGCUUGUAGAUUUGAAUAGUCGUAUAAAGUCUUUUGAAUAUUUGAUUGAAAUUGGUGACAAUCUGGUGCAAGUUGCGGAGAUCUCUUCUUUGAGGCAAGAGGCAGCAGGACUCACGGGAUUUAUGAUGGAGCACCUCUCAUUAGUGUCUGAAGAUCAACAGCGAAUAUUCAUUUCUGCUGAUACGACUAAUAAUAAGAUGGUUGACUAUGAAAGUGAUGAAUGGGAUUUCAGUAUUUGCUCUGUGAACAAGAAGUCAUUGCCAACUGCACUUUGGUGGGUUGUUUGCCAAAAUAUUCAUGCAUGGUGCCCUCAUGCCUCUAAAAAGGAUUUGAAGAGAUUCCUUUCUCUUUUAAUCCAUACUUCAAUUCCCUAUGUAAGAAGCAGCUUUGGAGUGGUUAUAGAGCACAAGAACCAUGAAGCUGACAGGCUGAAGAAUGUGGCAUUGCAUCAAAUCUCAUCACAGUGCUUUAUUGAUUCCAGUCUGUAUGAGCAAAGAUUUGUCCGCAGGUAUUUUGCAAAGAGGUUCUGCCGUGCAUUGGAGAAAUCUACAUUACCAUUCAUCAGCGACUUUCCAUCCGGCAAUGUUAAAUUCAAAUCAUCACCUAAUUGGCCAAAUGUCUUAAGUGAUUUAGAGAACUCAUCAUUGGCUAUUUCCGGCAAUAAACUCAAUGUAUUUGAUUGUUCCUCAGCCUCAAGUUGCAAGGGACAAAACUCCCAACCAUCUACCAUCAUGAAAUUUGCAGCUUGUCAGAGUUUGCUUAAUCUUUUGAGUUGCAUGCCAAAAGGUCAUUUGGACACGAGAUCAUUUUCACGUUAUGUGACUUCUAUUCUGAACCUCGAAAGGAUUGUUGUUGGCGGCUUAUUAGAUUAUCAGAAUGCUUCAUACUCAACUUAUUAUUAUGAGCUCUUCAGAUUGUUUGUGUCCUGUCGGAAGGCCUUAAGAUGUAUAAUUACUGCUUGUGAGGAGACAGUAGCCAGUCAAACCUCAGACACUGUACUCUUUGAGGAUUUAUUUCCAGUUUCAUGGCUUUACAAGUCAGUGCAUAUGGUUAUUGGGCUUCAAGAAUCAUUCUCAAAAGAUAUUUAUCAUCAAGUUCAUGAUAUGAUCUUGGCGUUAAUGGAUCACACGUUUUAUGUGUUUCUGACAUUAAAUAAAUAUCAAUCCAAUCAUGCUGUUCGUUUCCUUGAGGUUGCUGAGCUGAAUUUUGGAUGUGCCCAAGAACAGAGAAGUUUAUUGAAUUCGUCCAAUUAUAUUGAAGCCUGGAAAAGUGUAAACGUUGUUGCUAAGAUUUUGAAGGAACAGAUGCAGAUCUUACUUGUAAAUGUGAAGAAUGGCAUUUGUAAUGGAAAAGAGGAAGUUUCUGUUGAUGCUUUAAAUUUGAACAAGUUUGCUUCCAUAAUUUCGUGUUUUAGUGGGUUUUUAUGGGGCCUAGCAUGCGUUGUGAUCGACACAGAUGGGAGAAAUAGUGAUGAGAAAGCUAAGUUGUCAAGGUGGAAACUUGAACCAAUCUCCGAACUCAACCUCUGUAUAAAGGUUUUUGAAGAAAUUUCUAGUCUUCUACUACAAAUGUUUAUUCUUGACGAUAAUCAGCAAUCCACAACUAUAUGUCAUGCCUAUAAUCUUGAGAAGUCAGGCUACAAUUUAGAUUUGUUGGGUGCAGAGAAGAUUUUGCCGGAAGGCAAUGAUGCUGACACUGAUAUGGCAUGUGGUGGACUGCAGGAUGAAUCUGCAGUUGCAGUGACGUGCUCAGCAUUAUCUGACAUCUGUGAAGACUCUGUAAUUGGUAGUGUUCAUAGAAGAAGACCGCGCUUGAAAGAUGCAAAUAGUGUUGUUACUGUUCUCACUGCUGUUGAUUCAUUUGAACUGCAAUCUUUAAAUAAGCCUUUGUUGAGAAGCAUGCUAAAAGGUGAUUUCCCCAACGCAGCAUUCUUACUGAGGCAGUUGUUAAUCGCCUCUUCUGCUAUUUUAAGGCUAAAUUUGCAUAUUAAGAGCGCUCCCAUGUUGUCAAGCUUGGUGCAUAAGUUUGCUGGCAUUAUGCAAGUCUUGUUAUUGGAAUCAGCGGACGCAAGUCAGGUGCCACACUUCUAUUAUUUUGUGUGUUUAGAUGGUGUUCUGAAGUAUCUGGAAGAAUUAGGGAAUCAUUUUCCUUUGACUAAUCCUACCUUAUCCAGAGAUUUGUUUGACAAGAUGGUUCAGCUACAGUUACGGGCUCUAGGGAAAUGCAUAACUUUACAAGGGAAAAGAGCAACUCUUGCAUCUCAUGAAACAAGCACCAACACACCCUUAGGAGAAAGGAGAUUUUCUGAAGCAUCAUCUUUUUCUGGCUGGGAAUAUUUAUUGGAUGAAUUCAAAGCUAGGUUGAGGUCAUCAUUUGCAGUGUUCAUAAAGAAAUCAACAGAGUUGCAUCUCCAAUCUGCAGUUCAAGCUAUCGAAAGAGCCCUAGUUGGUGUACGGGAAGGGUGCACAGUGAGGUAUGACAUAUGUGCUGGAAGUGAAGAUGGAGGAAAGGUUUCUUCAAUUGUUGCAUCUGGCAUUGAUUGCUUGGAUUUGGUUUUGGAAUUUGUUUCAGGACGCAAUUUGAUUGUGGUUAAAAAAUACAUUCAGAGGUUAAUUGCCUGCAUGUUCAAUGUUAUUCUGCAUCUGCAGAGUCCACUAAUCUUCUAUGAGAGAUUCACUCUGAGUAAAGAUGAUACUGAUCCAGAUCCAGGAACAGUCAUUCUUAUGUGUGUUGAUGUACUGGCAAGAAUUUCUGGCAAGCAUGCAAUAUACAAAAUGGAUGUCUGGCAUGUAGCACACUCGUUACGUAUACCUUCAGCACUUUUUGAAGAUUUCCAUCUGUUAAAACAUUCUAAAUGUCCUGUUCCAAAUGAUUCUUCAACAAGUCCAAAUAACCAACCAUCCGACCCUGUAGCAAGUGUACAUGUCUCUGGCAUAGAUAGGCAAUACUCAAUCGGCCUAUAUUCUGCUUGCUGCCGAUUAUUGCAUAAUGUUGUGAAGCAUCACAAAAGUGAAUGCGAGGGGUAUGUUGCUCUACUUCAAGCUUCUGUUCGUGUUCUUGUUUAUUGUUUGGAGACAUUGGAUGCUGUUGUGGUAGCCAGGGAAGGCUUCUUUUCAUGGGAAGUAGAAGAAGGAGUCAAAUGUGCAUGUUCUCUCAGAAGGAUUUAUGAAGAGCUAAGACAUCAAAAAGAGGUCUUUGGUCCACACUGUUACCACUUUUUAGCUUAUUACAUACAGGUUUAUUCAGGAUAUGGCCCCCGCAAAACAGGCAUCAAAAGGGAAAUAGAUGAAGCUCUAAGACCAGGUGUAUAUGCGCUGAUAGAUGUUUGCUCACCUGAUGAUCUUCAACGUCUUCAUACCUCAUUUGGAGAGGGUCCUUGCAGAAACACUUUGGCAACCUUGAAGCACGAUUACGAACUCAAUUUCCAGUACCAGGGAAAAGUCUAAGCGAAGCUUAUUUCUGUGGCUAACGAUUUGGACGUGAAAGUAACAAAGCUGCUUGUUAUCACUAAAUUGGAUAACCCGAAGUCAUGUUGUAGGUAACUACCUAAAAGUGUCUUAUUGUGGUAUGCGGUAGCUGUAAUCACAUUGUGAGUCUGAACCAUUGACCGGAUGGAAUUGACUCAGCUAGAUUGAAAGAAUGGUAUGCCAGCAAGAGUCUCCUACCUAAUGUGUAAGAUCCUAACCCUCCAAUUGUGAGUUACUGAAAAUGACCUCUACCCGACUAUGGAUUUUUAUGUAAAAUGCCUUGUCCACCCACUACCCUCUUCAGCCGGCCCUAUGUCAUUUGGAUCAUUUAGUGAUAAUAUUCCUUACGGUAUCAUUAGGCUGGUAUGAUAACGAUUGAUUGAGAUUUGAGAGCAACCACCAAAUUCUAAAACUCCAAAAGACCAUACAUAAAUACUUGUGCGGUCUAGAUAUAGACUUGGAUGUAGAAGUCUUUUUUUAUAUGUUGGUUUCAAAUUCUACCUAUUUUUCUUCUGAAAUAAAAGCUCUCAUUGAGAAAGAACGGUCAUUGAAUCUUGAUGGGUCAUCAUUGUUGUAGAACAGAAGCCCCUUCUUCAUACCCAGUUCUGGUCUUCUUGGCAGUGACUGUUGUACUUCUUCUCUUGUCAACUUUGAUCUCGUCUUUUGAGGUCGUAGCCCCCAAAUUUGAGAUCAAUUUGGGUCUCAUAGCCGCACCAUUGCUGUUGCUUGCCGUUGUUCAUUGGUUGUCAUCAAUGGAAACGAAGAAGCCCUAUAUGAUGCCACCAUGUUGCAAGUGCAGGCAUGCUUGUAAGUGCGGCUACUUCUGAAACGAUCAUGUCGCUGUAUUUAUCAAAACUCAUAAGAGCUGGUUUGUCUAGUACUCGGUUAAGAUAAAGAGGGUUCAUGUGUUUAUUGGUUUCUUUAUGUUAUAUGUACUGGGUUGAAUUGGUGUUCGUACAAGUACACCAAAUUUGGGUACUCUGAUUGUUGUAACAUGACAAAAUGAUUGUAAAAGUUGUUUUUCAUUUUGUUUUAUUAGAAGGGAUAACCCCAGCUCUAUCUCCAA
RNA transcript from Rosa rugosa (rugosa rose), 7799 nucleotides. RefSeq lists it as uncharacterized. Lineage: Eukaryota; Viridiplantae; Streptophyta; Magnoliopsida; Rosales; Rosaceae. The transcript has 12 exons. The record is from RefSeq and is a predicted model, not a curated record.